AGAGGUGGCAAGCGUUGUUCGGAAUUACUGGGCGUAAAGGGCGAGUAGGUGGCCAUCUAAGUCAGACGUGAAAUCCCCCGGCUUAACCUGGGAACUGCGUCUGAUACUGGACGGCUUGAGUAUGGGAGAGGAACGUAGAAUUCCAGGUGUAGCGGUGAAAUGCGUAGAUAUCUGGAGGAAUACCGGUGGCGAAGGCGGCGUUCUGGACCAUUACUGACACUGAAUCGCGAAAGCUAGGGGAGCAAACGGGAUUAGAUACCCCGGUAGUCCUAGCCCUAAACGAUGAAUGCUUGGUGUGGCGGGUAUCGAUCCCUGCCGUGCCGAAGCUAACGCAUUAAGCAUUCCGCCUGGGGAGUACGGUCGCAAGGCUG
RNAcentral lists this ribosomal RNA (371 nucleotides) under uncultured bacterium. Its description in RNAcentral is "bacterial SSU rRNA". It matches the Rfam family "Bacterial small subunit ribosomal RNA", at positions 527 to 896 of the family's 1533-position model. The record is from RNAcentral.